UACGGAGGACCCGAGCGUUAUCCGGAUUUAUUGGGUUUAAAGGGUGCGUAGGCGGAUUAGUAAGUUAGAGGUGAAAGCUCGAUGCUCAACAUCGAAAUUGCCUCUGAUACUGUUAGUCUAGAGUAUAGUUGCGGAAGGCGGAAUGUGUGGUGUAGCGGUGAAAUGCUUAGAUAUCACACAGAACACCGAUUGCGAAGGCAGCUUUCCAAGCUAUUACUGACGCUGAUGCACGAAAGCGUGGGGAGCGAACAGG
RNAcentral lists this ribosomal RNA (253 nucleotides) under Alistipes indistinctus YIT 12060. Its description in RNAcentral is "partial 16S ribosomal RNA". It matches the Rfam family "Bacterial small subunit ribosomal RNA", at positions 524 to 776 of the family's 1533-position model. Lineage: Bacteria; Pseudomonadati; Bacteroidota; Bacteroidia; Bacteroidales; Rikenellaceae. The record is from RNAcentral. RNAcentral also lists the same sequence under 1 other name.